RNAcentral lists this long non-coding RNA (390 nucleotides) under Carica papaya (papaya). Its description in RNAcentral is "long non-coding RNA (CPAP_LNC005754)". The record is from RNAcentral. Lineage: Eukaryota; Viridiplantae; Streptophyta; Magnoliopsida; Brassicales; Caricaceae.
UCGCAAUUCGAUUUUAAACAUCCUCAUGGCCAAAUCGGAGCAAAAAGACUGGCGGAUUGAUCGAAAACUACGGGUAAAGACCAGUGCCGCCGCCGUGAGAAAAAAUAAAAAUCGCCUCCGAUGAGACCCUACCCGAUUCCCGUUUUGUGUAAUUUUUUCACCAUUGUGAUCAACAUCCCUUUCUCUACAGGUUGACCGAAGCGAAACACCCAACUACGAAUGUGAGCUGGUGGAGCCGCCACACCAGAGAAUCCUGCCACCAGUAAACUUCGAUUUUUUUGACUUUUUUCAACUAACUGAGGCCUUUUAAUGUAUUUUCUCGCAGGAAUUGAUACAAAACUGGUCAAAUUCGGCCGAAAACAGCGAAUCUAAGGCAAACCGUUGUCUCAG